This 205-nucleotide long non-coding RNA is filed under the name Lathyrus oleraceus (garden pea). RNAcentral's name for it is "Pisum sativum (pea) long non-coding RNA (PSAT_LNC025401)". The record is from RNAcentral. Lineage: Eukaryota; Viridiplantae; Streptophyta; Magnoliopsida; Fabales; Fabaceae.
ACUUGCUAUUUUUCUGAUCAAGUUUUUGGCGCCGUUGUCGGGGACUGCCAAAAUAUAAAGUUUAAAUUUAGUUCAAUUGAAAUUUUGUUGCUCUACAACUAAAGUUUUAUUUCUUUAUUUUAAUUUAUUUCGACCUUUAUCAACUAAUCUGCCUCUGAUAUUUUAUGCGAGGUAAGACCUCAGCUGAAUUUCCUGCUGGGAGUAU